UACGAAGGGGGCUAGCGUUGCUCGGAAUCACUGGGCGUAAAGCGCACGUAGGCGGGUCUUUAAGUCAGGGGUGAAAUCCUGGAGCUCAACUCCAGAACUGCCUUUGAUACUGGAGACCUAGAGUUCGGGAGAGGAGAGUGGAACUGCGAGUGUAGAGGUGAAAUUCGUAGAAAUUCGCAAGAACACCAGUGGCGAAGGCGG
This 201-nucleotide ribosomal RNA is filed under the name uncultured prokaryote. RNAcentral describes it as "partial 16S ribosomal RNA". It matches the Rfam family "Bacterial small subunit ribosomal RNA", at positions 524 to 724 of the family's 1533-position model. The record is from RNAcentral.